GCGCUCUUAGUGUAGUGGUAACACGUCCUCAUGUUAAUCGAGGAGAUCCUGGGUUCGAUUCCCAGAGGGUGCC
Non-coding RNA from Mycena crocata, 73 nucleotides. NCBI's taxonomy places the organism in Eukaryota, Fungi, Basidiomycota, Agaricomycetes, Agaricales, Mycenaceae. The record is from the annotation of a GenBank genome assembly.